Molecule: ribosomal RNA, 272 nt
Filed under: uncultured bacterium
Lineage: Bacteria
Description: partial 16S ribosomal RNA
Rfam family: Bacterial small subunit ribosomal RNA
Source: RNAcentral
AUACGGAGGGUGCAAGCGUUGUUCGGAAUCACUGGGCGUAAAGGGCGCGCAGGCGGUUUGGUAAGUCAGAUGUGAAAGCCCACGGCUCAACCGUGGAAGUGCAUUUGAAACUGUCAGACUCGAGUACUAGAGGGGAAAGUGGAAUUCCCGGUGUAGAGGUGAAAUUCGUAGAUAUCGAGGAAUACCGGUGGCGAAGGCGACUUUCUGGCUAGAUACUGACGCUGAGGCGCGAAAGCGUGGGGAGCAAACAGGAUUAGAUACCCCAGUAGUCC